This 301-nucleotide ribosomal RNA is filed under the name uncultured bacterium. RNAcentral's name for it is "partial 16S ribosomal RNA". It matches the Rfam family "Archaeal small subunit ribosomal RNA", at positions 459 to 759 of the family's 1478-position model. The record is from RNAcentral.
CAGUAGCCGCGGUAACACCAGCAGCCCAAGUGGUGGUCGCGUUUAUUGGGCCUAAAGCGCUCGUAGCCUGACCGGUAAGUUCCCCGUGAAAUCGGGUCGCCCAACGAUUCGGCUUGCGGGGAAUACUGUCGGUCUUGGGGCCGGGAGACGCCGAGGGUACUCCGGGGGUAGCGGUGAAAUGCUGUAAUCCUCGGGGGACUACCAGUGGCGAAGGCGCUCGGCGAUAACGGGCCUGACGGUGAGGGGCGAAAGCUGGGGGCGCGAACGGGAUUAGAUACCCCCGUAGUCCCUGUCUCUUAUA